CCCCUGGGGGUCUAGUGGUUAGGAUGUUGUGCUCUCACUGCCAUGGCCCGGGUUCGAUUCCCGGUCAGGGAA
Molecule: transfer RNA, 72 nt
Filed under: Manacus vitellinus (golden-collared manakin)
Lineage: Eukaryota; Metazoa; Chordata; Aves; Passeriformes; Pipridae
Rfam family: tRNA
About the family: Transfer RNA (tRNA) molecules are approximately 80 nucleotides in length. Their secondary structure includes four short double-helical elements and three loops (D, anti-codon, and T loops).
Source: Rfam by way of RNAcentral